This 365-nucleotide ribosomal RNA is filed under the name Rhinobatos sp. GP0062. Its description in RNAcentral is "partial 16S ribosomal RNA". It matches the Rfam family "Archaeal large subunit ribosomal RNA", at positions 1996 to 2452 of the family's 2987-position model. Lineage: Eukaryota; Metazoa; Chordata; Chondrichthyes; Rhinopristiformes; Rhinobatidae. The record is from RNAcentral.
GCUUUUUAACGGCCGCGGUAUCCUGAUCGUGCGAAGGUAGCGUAAUCACUUGUCCUUUAAUUGGGGACCCGAAAGGAUGGCAUCACGAGAGUUUGUCUGUCUCUGUUUUCUGAUCAGGAUGUUUGGCUUCCUCGUGCAGAGACGUUAGAUGUAACAUAAGAUAAGAAGACCCUAUGGAACUUUAAGUAUAUUGAAUACUCAGUCGAUAAGGGGGUUUUGUUUGGGUAUAAGGCAACAUAAAUAAAAAUAAGUUAACUUAUUUUUGGUUGGGGCGACCAAGGGGAAAAACGGGUCCCCCUUAUCGAGUAAGUAUUCAAAGUACUUAAAAAUUAAAACGAACAGUUCUAAUCUAUAUGUUAUUAUUC